CCAUUUCACCGAAGUUAAGCAUCAUUGGGCGCGGUCAGUACUUGGGUGGGUGACCACCUGGGAACACCGCGUGCCGUU
Molecule: ribosomal RNA, 78 nt
Filed under: Caerostris darwini
Lineage: Eukaryota; Metazoa; Arthropoda; Arachnida; Araneae; Araneidae
Source: RNAcentral